GAUGAACGCUAGCGGCAGGCCUAAUACAUGCAAGUCGAACGGGAUCCAGAUCAAAGCUUGCUUUGGUCUGGUGAGAGUGGCGCACGGGUGCGUAACGCGUGAGCAACCUACCCUUGUCAGGGGGAUAGCCCGGCGAAAGUCGGAUUAAUACCGCAUGACAUCAUUGAGAGGCAUCUUUCGAUGAUCAAAGAUUUAUCGGACAAGGAUGGGCUCGCGUGACAUUAGCUAGUUGGUAAGGUAACGGCUUACCAAGGCUGCGAUGUCUAGGGGCUCUGAGAGGAGAAUCCCCCACACUGGUACUGAGACACGGACCAGACUCCUACGGGAGGCAGCAGUAAGGGAUAUUGGUCAAUGGACGGAAGUCUGAACCAGCCAUGCCGCGUGCAGGAAGACGGCCCUAUGGGUUGUAAACUGCUUUUAUACGGGAACAAACGUCGGUACGUGUACCGGUCUGAGUGUACCGUAAGAAUAAGGAUCGGCUAACUCCGUG
RNAcentral lists this ribosomal RNA (490 nucleotides) under uncultured bacterium. RNAcentral describes it as "partial 16S ribosomal RNA". It matches the Rfam family "Bacterial small subunit ribosomal RNA", at positions 28 to 507 of the family's 1533-position model. The record is from RNAcentral.